Molecule: long non-coding RNA, 522 nt
Filed under: Setaria viridis
Lineage: Eukaryota; Viridiplantae; Streptophyta; Magnoliopsida; Poales; Poaceae
Description: long non-coding RNA (SVIR_LNC002160)
Source: RNAcentral
GAAAAGGAAAAGGAAAAGGAAAGUGCUUAAUUUUGGUUGCAACAUAUGUAAAUUUUCUAACUUUUUGAAGCCCAUGCACCACCGAGGACUUUGAAUCAGGUCAAAAGAGGGGUAAAUAAAUCUUUUUUUAAAAAGGAGGUAAAUAACUACCAAUCCGGGCAGUCGCCCAACUAUUCACAUUGGUGGCUCUGUUUCUUCUCCCAAAUAUUACCAUUGGCAACUACAAAACCCCUCACAGAGUACUUUAGUUACAUGUUAUUGGUUCGAAAAAUUGUAGUACUAAACUCUAUCUCAAGAAACAAUAUAUUGUUUCAGUAUUACUCCACGAUAUUCAAAUACUUGAUCGCAAUCACACACUUGAAAACCAUGCAUAAUUGCAGUUGGUCCAUUCGAAGUUUCUUUCAACGCACAAGUGCCCGUCAUUUGUGAAAGCGGAAACAUUCUUCACAGCUAUAGUAGCCACUUGUGAAAAAGAAAGGUCUGCCAAAACUUUUCAGACCAGAGAUUAUUAGCAUUAGCUAG